UAGGGAAUUUUCGGCAAUGGGGGAAACCCUGACCGAGCAACGCCGCGUGAGCGAAGAAGGCCUUCGGGUCGUAAAGCUCUGUUGUAAAGGAAGAACGGCGCAUACAGGAAAUGGUAUGCGAGUGACGGUACUUUACCAGAAAGCCACGGCUAACUACGUGCCAGCAGCCGCGGUAAUACGUAGGUGGCGAGCGUUAUCCGGAAUCAUUGGGCGUAAAGAGGGAGCAGGCGGCCGCAAGGGUCUGUGGUGAAAGACCGAAGCUAAACUUCGGUAAGCCAUGGAAACCGGGCGGCUAGAGUGCGGAAGAGGAUCGUGGAAUUCCAUGUGUAGCGGUGAAAUGCGUAGAUAUAUGGAGGAACACCAGUGGCGAAGGCGACGGUCUGGGCCGCAACUGACGCUCAUUCCCGAAAGCGUGGGGAGCAAAUA
This 426-nucleotide ribosomal RNA is filed under the name uncultured bacterium. RNAcentral describes it as "bacterial SSU rRNA". It matches the Rfam family "Bacterial small subunit ribosomal RNA", at positions 355 to 774 of the family's 1533-position model. The record is from RNAcentral.